This 318-nucleotide small nucleolar RNA is filed under the name Oryzias javanicus (javanese ricefish). The record is from RNAcentral. Lineage: Eukaryota; Metazoa; Chordata; Actinopteri; Beloniformes; Adrianichthyidae.
GCCCAGUGAUGAGACUAAGGCAGAUGCGAGUUCACUGAAUUAGAGUCGAGUUCUUCUGCCAAAUCCAGCAGGUAAUCUUGGCAGUGCAGGGGAGGAUUCCUGCACUGCUGUAAGGGCCUGCUGACAGUGACUUGGCUCAACCCGUGUCAUUAUUCCGGUAAAGCCAUGUUGGAAUAAUCAUGAGGAGGAAGCCGACAGUGUGUGUGUGUGUGUGCGUGCAUGUAUAUGUGUUUGUUGUGUGUAACUGGCUAGAGGUGUUUCUCUGCUCUCGUUAGUGUUCAGUGAGAAAUGAGCGGUGUCUUUGGUAAUCUGAGGGCU